This 485-nucleotide ribosomal RNA is filed under the name uncultured bacterium. RNAcentral describes it as "partial 16S ribosomal RNA". It matches the Rfam family "Bacterial small subunit ribosomal RNA", at positions 30 to 507 of the family's 1533-position model. The record is from RNAcentral.
AUUGAACGCUGGCGGCAGGCUUAACACAUGCAAGUCGAGCGGGGGAAGGUAGCUUGCUACCGGACCUAGCGGCGGACGGGUGAGUAAUGCUUAGGAAUCUGCCUAUUAGUGGGGGACAACAUCUCGAAAGGGAUGCUAAUACCGCAUACGUCCUACGGGAGAAAGCAGGGGAUCUUCGGACCUUGCGCUAAUAGAUGAGCCUAAGUCGGAUUAGCUAGUUGGUGGGGUAAAGGCCUACCAAGGCGACGAUCUGUAGCGGGUCUGAGAGGAUGAUCCGCCACACUGGGACUGAGACACGGCCCAGACUCCUACGGGAGGCAGCAGUGGGGAAUAUUGGACAAUGGGGGGAACCCUGAUCCAGCCACGCCGCGUGUGUGAAGAAGGCCUUAUGGUUGUAAAGCACUUUAAGCGAGGAGGAGGCUACUUUAGUUAAUACCUAGAGAUAGUGGACGUUACUCACAGAAUAAGCACCGGCUAACUCUGUG